AUGGCCAUCACUCAGUUUCGGUUCUUUAAAGUUUGUACUUGCCUAGCAAUAGUGUUCUCAUUCCUAAAGAGAUUAAUGUGCAGAUCUGGCAGAGGAAGGAAAUUAAGUGGAGAUCAAAUAACUUUGCCCACCACAGUUGAUUAUUCGUCUGUCCCUAAGCAGACAGACCUGGAGGAGUGGACUUCCUGGGAUGAAGAUGAGCCCACUAGUGCAUCGAAGGAGGGA
Molecule: long non-coding RNA, 225 nt
Filed under: Mus musculus (house mouse)
Lineage: Eukaryota; Metazoa; Chordata; Mammalia; Rodentia; Muridae
Description: long non-coding RNA chrX:103529482-103529707
Source: RNAcentral